AAGAAGCAUUAAGUUCGUUCAGUUCAAACAAGGUUGUAGUUGGCUUCAAAGGUUGAGUUUCAACAAUCAACAAGUUUCAGGAAGAGUUUUCAAGGCUCGAAGCAUACAAGUCUUUUUGAGAGGUGCAUAAGCUACUCAGGUGCAAAGUAAUGUUCUUUACAAGGCAUUUCAAAUCAUUGCUCCCAAUGCAAGUAAAUGCA
RNAcentral lists this long non-coding RNA (200 nucleotides) under Brassica napus (rape). Its description in RNAcentral is "long non-coding RNA (BNAP_LNC026547)". The record is from RNAcentral. Lineage: Eukaryota; Viridiplantae; Streptophyta; Magnoliopsida; Brassicales; Brassicaceae.